CUUCGGCCCGAGUUGUAAUUUGCAGAGGAAGUAUUUGGCGCGGUGCCUUCCGAGUUCCCUGGAAUGGGACGCCAUAGAGGGUGAGAGCCCCGUCUGGUUGGACACCAAGCCUGUGUAAUACUCCUUCGACGAGUCGAGUAGUUUGGGAAUGCUGCUCUAAAUGGGAGGUAAAUCUCUUCUAAAGCUAAAUACCGGCCAGAGACCGAUAGCGCACAAGUAGAGUGAUCGAAAGAUGAAAAGCACCUUGAAAAGGGGGUUAAACAGUACGUGAAAUUGUUGAAAGGGAAGCGUUUAUGACCAGACUUGUGCCGUGUGGCUCAUCCGGGGUUCUCCCCGGUGCACUCCACACGGUUCAGGCCAACAUCGGUUCUCGUUGGGGGAUAAGAACAGUAGGAACGUGGCCCUCUUCGGAGGGUGUUAUAGCCUAUUGUACGAUACCUUGAUGGGGACCGAGGACCGCGCUUCGGCUAGGAUGUUGGCGUAAUGGUCAUUAGCGACCCGUCUU
RNAcentral lists this ribosomal RNA (505 nucleotides) under Melanconis stilbostoma. RNAcentral describes it as "partial 28S ribosomal RNA". It matches the Rfam family "Eukaryotic large subunit ribosomal RNA", at positions 131 to 655 of the family's 3401-position model. The record is from RNAcentral. Lineage: Eukaryota; Fungi; Ascomycota; Sordariomycetes; Diaporthales; Melanconidaceae.